UGGUGUGGCAGGGAGGGAUUAAGGGAAAAGGAGGAAUAUAUAUCCUCCCAGGCCACUCCUAUGGGAUCCCCUCUUCCCACUGGGCUUCACCUCCCAACAUCACACCCAGCUAUAACCCAUCAGCGGGCCAGUCCAGUGAUGGGUACCACACACCCAUGAUCCAUCACCUCCCAAAGGUCCCACCUAUGAGCACGUGAGGCUUCAGGGAGACUGUAACACUCUAUGAGCUGGAGCCAAGCUCUCAUAUUCCAGUGUCACCAUACCAGAAGGUGGGACUGGAACUGCCAGCUCACCUGGCCUUUCAAAAGGUUUGGGGUUUUGUUUGCAAAACAGAAAUCGGAACAUUUACAGAUGUUAAAUCAUUCAAUUUUUAAAUGCAGCAAGUAAGGCAAUUUAAAACUCCCUCACUCCAGCACAAACCCCAGACUAACUACAAAGGCCACACUCAAAGGCAAAGGCAUCUCCAGCAGCCCAGUCUGGACAAGUUCUUCUCAUUGUGAGGUCAGAAGCUCCAUGUGUGUGUGCUUGGGAGGGGCAAUUUUUGUUUGCUCACUCCUGUAACCCACUUCCAGGCACACAGUUGGAACACAUGAAGUGUCAGUUGCAUUAAUGAAUCCUCGAAGCAAUCCUGUAAGGCCAGGGGUCUCACACCCAUUUGGAAGAUGAGGAGCUUGGGGCUUGCUUCGGCGAAGUGAACUCCCCACCACCACACAGCUCUCCAGCAAGAGCGGCAGCCUUCAAACCCAGGACCACUCAGAGGAGGGGCUGCUGUGAAGAACAAAUACAACUGUAGCUGUGAAAGUGCUUUGCAUAAGGAGAGGUUUGGGGAAUCGCUACCAAUCAGAGGAACAGCACAAGUAGAACUUGCAGAUGGGAACUGCAGUUAAAGAAGAUGAGCACCAGCUUACUGGGUAUCUCACUGAAGCCAGAGGGCUCUGUGUUCUCUCUGGAGUGGUGUUGUUUUUAUACAGCUGUGCAUCUGAAGAAAGCAGGUUUGGGUGCAGCAGACAGCAGGGAUGAGGGGGCUUGGUGCAGGACAUCUGCUCAGAAAGCCUCCCUAUGCCUGAGCUGAAGGACCAGGGCUGGACUGGGGUCUUCUCACCAUCUGGCCUCUGAGACCUGGACCCCGACAUCACCUGGAGAGCUCCUGCCUGCACUGGAGGAGGGAAGGCACGUUCUGCGUGGACACAGGGGAUCGAACUCGAAACCCUGCGCUUGCUAGGCAGGUGGUGGAACCACUGAGCUAAAUCCCCGGCCCAAUAUCUUUAGUCGCCAUUAAAAUGCAAGGAUGAUCAAAGGAGCGAUAAAUGAGUGUCUAAUGAGUGGUAAGUCAUGUACACUUAUUAUAAAGCAAUAUUUAAUUUUUUGCUAGAGCGCUGUACUUUGAUAUCCUGAGGAGAAGACAGGAGGGAAUAGACAGUAAAGAAUUCAUCGAGUUUCCAGAGGAUAUGAAGUGUGCCGAAGGACUUUAAUAUCCAAUAUCACUAUCAGCAAGCAGAUUUGGUCUCUAUGGUAAAAGCCCCAGGCUUAAGGCAGGAGGCCGGAUUCCGGCAGAUUCCACAGCUGUCUUACAAACCAGCUGUGAUCCUGGGCAAAUUACUUAACCUCUCUGACCACUUCCUCAUCUGAAAAGUGAGAGUGAUGCCACACCACCCCAGGGGUGCUGCGAGAAUCACGUACACUCAACUGUGUAGAAGAUCUGCCCCUCCUUAAAUAUGGGCAUCCUUGGAUCUGUGGCUGCACACUCUGGGAGCUGUAGCUACUGAGUUACCUCUGUGGAUGAGUCUAUUGAGCUGAGUCUAUUCACAGACCCACAGAUGAGCCCAGCCAGGGCUGCUCAAACCCAGGUCCACCAGCAGACACAUGAACUUCAAUAAUAAAUAAUUGUUGUUUUAAGCCACCAAGUGUUAGGGUGGUUUGGUACCUGGUAAAUGGUUAAGACUAUAAAGCAAAUUUAGGAUUCCUGACUUUUUUAAUAGUUGCCAUGUUCAAUAGGAAUAGUUCUAAGAUACAUCUUAGCUUAUAUUUUAAGCAAAAUGAAGUGAACAUACCAGUAGACCCUGGACCAUUCACGAUCAUCCUAAUGAAAACCACUCAUGCUGUAAGACAGUGAUACCUUCAAUGGCUAUAUACAGAUAAUUCCUAUCUCCUAUUCUUUAUGAAAUCUCAGAAUCAUGCCCUAGCUCUUAAAAUCAUUUUUCUUACAAUCUUAUCAGCCGCCAUUUGUCACUGUGAUCAAGGAGCUCAUCUAAAGCAGCAACUCCUCCCUCCCCAAUCCGUUGUGCUAUACCUAGUCCUGCAUACUUCAAGAAACCUGCUCUUGAAGCCUGUUAGAAUGAUGUUCAUCGUGAGUGUUAAUAGGUCAGAGUAAGGGUCUGAGAUAGUUUUCUGAGUGUUGGAAGUAUGCGCCUCGGUGCUGGCAUUCCUAUCCACAAUUCUGGCCUCUGUAAUACGUUCUGCUCCCUUCCUGGCUCCCCUCUGGGACCCAGCAGUGGAAGUUGCCAGGUAAUGCACAUUGAUUCAGAGAGGAGGGCUUGUGUCUGCCACGGCUGGAAUGUAAUCUUCCCUGAAGAGAAUGAAGGGGUGGCUCGCCUUGAAGGGGAGUAUAACCUACAGGCCUGUGGAGCUCUUCUUCUAUCACAGCCACUCCUGCAGCACGCAGCACAUGUGCGCCUACAGGCCAUGGAUUCCUCCAGCACAGAAGCCGAGCCCUCCUCAGUCUGUGUCCCCCGAAGCACUUAACACAGUGCCAGGCAUCCAGCAGGUGUGCACUAAGCUACAGUGGGUAGAGUGAAAAGAUUUUCCUCGUGGCCUUAUUCCAGUGUAUACACAACUUGUCUUUUUUAGGAGAAUAAGAAUCUAUAAGCUUCUGAAUAUAAACUGUUUCAAACCAAACUGCUAGAAAACAUUUUUAAAGGGUUAAAUUCAUUCUGUAUGAAGGGACAGCUCCAUCUCAAGGCCCAACUUUAUUUCUGAACUGUGUUCUCAUGAAGCCAUGGGGAUUAAGUUAAAGGGACAAAGCCAAGUGACUCUCCAGGAGAAAACAGGUAUUUUUGCUAAACUGAGUUAAUUUAGUGAUUCCCCCUUGGUCUACCCCAUUUUUUUCCUACCCCAAUUUUUGACCAAACGUCUGAAGAUACAUUCCCAACCAGAAGAUCUAGACUUAGCAAUCCAUCAAGAAGUACCUGUGGAUAUAUGGAUAUGUGGGAUAUGUGGGUUGCUUAUGGUACAUCCCCACCUCCCCUUUGCUCUUGACCCUGUCCCCAUAGGCUGAAUCCUCAUGGCCCACAACAAGGGGCCCCAGGCCUCUGGCUUCAAGUUGGGUUUGGCCAACAGGAGGCACUACCAACAGAUUGUUAGGAUAGGAGGAGAGGGAGGUCAGGGUAUUUCUAAGGCUCCAGAUCUCCCAGGGAUCCAUCUCCCUCCUUCUUCCUCCUGCCUUUUCAAGCACGGGACGGGAUGGUAAAGGCUUCCUGAGGUUGUUAAUCUCUAGGUGCCUCACCUUUGCUUGCUUGUUGCCUGAACCCCACCCACAUCCCUGGAAAUGCUCCCUUCAUUCCAGUCCUUUCAUCUGAACCAUCUGAGUGGUGUCUUUUCACUCUGGCAUUCUGAUGAGCGCAAGCUGAAAAGCCCAUUACCUAGGAGAUGUCUACACUGUGCCAGGGCUCUCUCCAGGGAGAAUUCAAAGAAAAUCAGAGAUUCUUUCCUGUCUCGCUUUUAGAAUUCCUCAGGCACUUUGGCUCUAUCUAAAUGAAAUAAUACAAAAUAUUGGUGAACUCCAAUCUAUAGAUGAGAGAAAAAAUGUUUUGUGUGUUGUGAAUUGAACCCAGGGAUGUUCUACUACUGAGAUCCUCCUCUAACCUUUUUUGAAAGGAAUUUUGAAUUUUGAGACAGGGUCUCACUAAGUUGCCCAGGCUGGCUUCAAAUUUGGGAUUCUCCUGCACAAGCCUCCUGCAUAGCUGGCAUUACAGGUAUGUGCCACCACACCUGGCUGAGAAAAGUUUUUAUUUGUUCAUUCACCAGAUAAUUAAGGAACACCUAUUAUGUGCCAGGCACUGUUAUGAUCCUGGGAAACAGGGAAUGUACAAGAUAGACACAGUCCCUGCCCAAAUGGUGCUUAGAGUCCAUUACCCUCUGUCUCUUGGAAAUCAGAGAGCCCACCAGAGGCAGGGUUGGACCCAGAAGACUAAGUUUCCUUAAUUCCCAACCCUGAAGUCCUCAGCAGAUUCACAAAGGACUUUAUGACCCCAACAAGAUGAAGAACCUUUAAAUCCGAUCAAAUUAACUAUCAAUCUUCCCAUCUGAAUCAAAGAAUAAUGACCCACCCAGUCCCAAAAGCACUCUCAACUUGGAUCUGUGAGGGCCAUGGUGACACACGCUCAGGUGCCACUGCCAUCCGCCCUUCCUGUCUCCCCUCACAUCUGAUAUUCCCUCAGAGCCUCCCUCCUUCUGCUGUCUCUCCCCACACUUUUAUAAUUAGCCGCACACUGUUCUGUCGGUUACUCCCUCAGGGCCCAUGGCCAUUGGUAGCAUCACUUGCCAAUGAGCUGUUUGUAUGAAUGGACAGCAUUAGAGGCCGGGUUCAGAGACAGGACCUUUCGGCUGGCAUUUGCGGCUUCCCUGUGCUUCACAGACAAUGACAGUGAAACUUGUGAGAUUCAUGCUUGGAGGCAUGAGGGGUACGGAGAGCAGGGGCAGCUGAGGUGAACGGGGGUGGGGGGGGGAGGCAGUGAGGGCACAGGCAGCAAGGCCUGGUCUGCUUCCUCCCUCAUUCCCUCUGAAGACAUCUGAGUUUCCUCAGAAAGGUUUAAAGAAGCCAUGACAGUAAUCCAGUACUUCCCCUGCUCCAGGUCAGGCAGGACACGCGUAAUGGCCUGAUGCCCUCAGAAGAGGUUGUCGGACUGGCCGACUCAGCCCCUUACCCGGUCUCCCAGCCUCACACUCACAGACACAGCCAGCUCUGGCCACACUGUCCCUCCGCAACUCCUCCACUCCUCCCAGGACCCACAGAUGCCUUGUCUCGUUCAGGAAGGAAGCACAGCAUGGAAGUGGAUAGGGCUGGAGAACCGGAAAGCCCAGACCUGAGGCUGCAAAGGGGCCCCUGGCCUCCACCACAGUCAGCCGGAUCCCCUUUCCCUUCGUGAGAUGUCCUGGCCAGGGCUGGGAUGGAAGUGUGUUUACUCGGCAAAAUCACCUUUGGGUCAAUCCCUGCCCCCCUUCACGAUGGUCAGAGAUAUAUUUAUAGAAACAUCUGGGGCUUAUUUCUCUUUCACUUGAACUUCCCUGUCUCUUUUAAGCUCCUCCAAAUUUCUGACCAAAAUGAAAUCAUGCGGCAAAUGGGGGAGAGAGACAGGCAAGGUAGAAACAAUAUUUGAGAGUCUCUGUCUUUGAGCAGCCGAGGAAGAACUAUUGGAACAAGGACAAAAGGGGCUUCUGAGACAAGCUUGGGUGACAGGAAGCGGUUGGGGUGGCCCUCUCCCUCCCAAUUUCCCUCCACCAAGAGUCGAACAGCAAAAUACCAGGACAAGUUGCAAGACAAUCUUCCUUCCUCCCCCUGCCCCUGACAGAUGUCAGAGAGGAGAGCUG
This is a non-coding RNA of Heterocephalus glaber (naked mole-rat), 5586 nucleotides long. Lineage: Eukaryota; Metazoa; Chordata; Mammalia; Rodentia; Bathyergidae. The record is from RefSeq and is a predicted model, not a curated record.